AUCAGGCUUUGAGAAUUUGACUUCUAGUCAUAUUGUUGGAAGUUAUAAUCAUUUAAAACCAUGUUGCUACUAUAAAGCUGUCAUAAGUAAGACAGAGUGGUAUUGGCACAAUGGUAAACAAACUGACCAAUGAACAGAAAAAGUCCAAGAAACAGACCUGAACGUAGCGGUCACUUGAUUUAUGAGGAAGGUGACAUGCAGUGCAGUGAGUGAAGGGUGAUGUUUCCAAUAUGUAUUGCUGGGCCAAAGGAUAUUCAUACAGGAAAAGAAUAUAUUUUUGCUUUUGCUUUCCAACACACACAAAAUCACUUCCAAAUGGUUUGCAAAUCUAAAUGUGAAAGAUUAAACAAAGCUUUUAGGGGGAAAAAAGAUCUUUGUGACCUUGGAGUAGGCAAGGAUUUUUUUAAAAUAGGAUACAACGCUAGCCAUACAAGGGGGAAAAAUUGAUUAAUUGUGUUAAAAUUAAGAACUUUUAAUUCAUCAAAACUUUUAAUUCAGGGGCUGGCCCCGUGGCCGAGUGGUUAAGUUCGCGCGCUCCGCUGCAGGCGGCCCAGUGUUUCGUUGGUUCAAAUCCUGGGCGCGGACAUGGCACUGCUCAUCAGACCACGCUGAGGCAGCGUCCCACAUGCCACAACUAGAGGAACCCACAACGAAGAAUACACAACUAUGUACCGGGGGGCUUUGG
Molecule: long non-coding RNA, 685 nt
Filed under: Equus caballus (horse)
Lineage: Eukaryota; Metazoa; Chordata; Mammalia; Perissodactyla; Equidae
Description: lncRNA (ENSECAG00000055516.1)
Source: RNAcentral